RNAcentral lists this ribosomal RNA (484 nucleotides) under uncultured bacterium. RNAcentral's name for it is "partial 16S ribosomal RNA". It matches the Rfam family "Bacterial small subunit ribosomal RNA", at positions 29 to 507 of the family's 1533-position model. The record is from RNAcentral.
AGUGAACGCUGGCGGCAGGCCUAACACAUGCAAGUCGAGCGGCAGCGCGGGGGCAACCCUGGCGGCGAGCGGCGGACGGGUGAGGAAUUCGUCGGAAUCUGCCUUUUUGUGGGGGAUAACGUAGGGAAACUUACGCUAAUACCGCAUACGUCCUACGGGAGAAAGUGGGGGACCGCAAGGCCUCACGCAGAAAGAUGAGCCGACGACCGAUUAGCUAGUUGGUGGGGUAAAGGCCCACCAAGGCGACGAUCGGUAGCUGGUCUGAGAGGAUGAUCAGCCACACUGGGACUGAGAAACGGCCCAGACUCCUACGGGAGGCAGCAGUGGGGAAUAUUGGACAAUGGGCGCAAGCCUGCUCCAGCCAUGCCGCGUGUGUGAAGAAGGCCUUCGGGUUGUAAAGCACUUUUGUCCGGAAAGAAAUCCCUGGAGCUAAUACCUUCGGGGGAUGACGGUACCGGAAGAAUAAGCACCGGCUAACUUCGUG